This 253-nucleotide ribosomal RNA is filed under the name uncultured bacterium. RNAcentral's name for it is "partial 16S ribosomal RNA". It matches the Rfam family "Bacterial small subunit ribosomal RNA", at positions 524 to 776 of the family's 1533-position model. The record is from RNAcentral.
UACGGAGGGUGCGAGCGUUGUUCGGAAUCAUUGGGCGUAAAGGGCGUGCAGGCGGUUGGGUAAGUCUGAUGUGAAAGCCCGGGGCUCAACCCCGGAAGUGCAUUGGAAACUGUCCGACUUGAGUACCGGAGAGGAUGGGGGAAUUCCCGGUGUAGAGGUGAAAUUCGUAGAGAUCGGGAGGAAUACCAGUGGCGAAGGCGCCCAUCUGGACGGAUACUGACGCUGAGACGCGAAAGCGUGGGGAGCAAACAGG